Molecule: ribosomal RNA, 497 nt
Filed under: uncultured bacterium
Lineage: Bacteria
Description: partial 16S ribosomal RNA
Rfam family: Bacterial small subunit ribosomal RNA
Source: RNAcentral
GAUGAACGCUGGCGGCGUGCCUAAUACAUGCAAGUCGAGCGAACGGACGAGAAGCUUGCUUUUCUGAUGUUAGCGGCGGACGGGUGAGUAACACGUGGAUAACCUACCUAUAAGACUGGGAUAACUUCGGGAAACCGGAGCUAAUGCCGGAUAAUAUUUUGAACCGCAUGGUUCAAAAGUGAAAGACGGUCUUGCUGUCACUUAUAGAUGGAUCCGCGCUGCAUUAGCUAGUUGGUAAGGUAACGGCUUACCAAGGCAACGAUGCAUAGCCGACCUGAGAGGGUGAUCGGCCACACUGGAACUGAGACACGGUCCAGACUCCUACGGGAGGCAGCAGUAGGGAAUCUUCCGCAAUGGGCGAAAGCCUGACGGAGCAACGCCGCGUGAGUGAUGAAGGUCUUCGGAUCGAAAAACUCUGUUAUUAGGGAAGAACAUAUGUGUAAGUAACUGUGCACAUCUUGACGGUACCUAAUCAGAAAGCCACGGCUAACUACGUG